This 250-nucleotide ribosomal RNA is filed under the name uncultured archaeon. RNAcentral's name for it is "partial 16S ribosomal RNA". It matches the Rfam family "Bacterial small subunit ribosomal RNA", at positions 524 to 773 of the family's 1533-position model. The record is from RNAcentral.
GACAUAAGGUGCGAGCGUUAUCCGGAAUCACUGGGCGUAAAGGGCAUCUAGGCGGUUUAUUAAGUCAGGGGUGAAAAGCCGAAGCUCAACUUUGGUCUUGCCUUUGAAACUGAUAGACUAGAAUACGGGAUAGGAGGGCGGAACUACAAGUGUAGAGGUGAAAUUCGUAGAUAUUUGUAGGAAUGCCGAUGACGAAGGUAGCUCUCUGGACCGAUAUUGACGCUGAAGUGCGAAAGCUAGGGUAGCAAAC